RNAcentral lists this ribosomal RNA (156 nucleotides) under Mucor zonatus. RNAcentral describes it as "5.8S ribosomal RNA". It matches the Rfam family "5.8S ribosomal RNA". Rfam says of the family: 5.8S ribosomal RNA (5.8S rRNA) is a component of the large subunit of the eukaryotic ribosome. The record is from RNAcentral. Lineage: Eukaryota; Fungi; Mucoromycota; Mucoromycetes; Mucorales; Mucoraceae. RNAcentral also lists the same sequence under 1 other name.
CAACUUUUAACAACGGAUCUCUUGGUUCUCGCAUCGAUGAAGAACGUAGCAAAGUGCGAUAACUAGUGUGAAUUGCAUAUUCAGUGAAUCAUCGAGUCUUUGAACGCAUCUUGCACUCAUUGGUAUUCCAAUGAGUACGCCUGUUUCAGUAUCAAA